Molecule: microRNA precursor, 116 nt
Organism: Medicago truncatula (barrel medic)
Lineage: Eukaryota; Viridiplantae; Streptophyta; Magnoliopsida; Fabales; Fabaceae
Rfam family: MIR2593 microRNA precursor family
Source: Rfam
UUAUAAGCAAAUUUUGAUUUUUUUAAGUUCAUUCAAUUAAUGAUGUAUAUGUUCCAUAAUAUAGAUCACAUACAUCAUUAAUUGAAUGAACUUAAAAAAUUAAAAUUUGCUUAUAA